CGCAUGCGCACAGGCACGCGGCGGUGGUGUUCCUCGCUUUGUGCAGCAAAUCCGCCGAGCUUUGUUACGGUUAGUCCUCGAGGCAACAGAGCGCAUGCGCCAGGACACUCAUAACUAGCAUUCAAAUCUACAAAGCCUCGAGGUGCAGGCGAGCAGUCGAUUCCUGGAGCCUGCCUCGGGAACAGACUAUUGUGGCUCCCAGCGGCCCCUGCGCCCCUCGCACGCGUAAUGAGGAGUCGAAAACAACGCACGCGUAGGUCUGCAGCGACUGCACCAGUUGCUAGAGCUCUUCCCACUGCAGGAGCUCAGAACUGACAAGAACCCUGACCAAAGCAGUAACUCCUGGUUCUGCUGGUACACCUCUUGUACCUGGAGCUGGCUCUCCAUCUGGCUGAGACGUCAUCUUUAACACUUCAAAACAAGCCUAAGGAGAAAAGAUUUUGGUGAUGUGACAUGAAAACAGACAGCACAAAUAUAGACCAGGAUGACAGAAGAUGUACACGCUGGGUGUUGAAUGCCAUUUGGAAACCAAACCCCAGUUACUUGACAGUCCAGGAAAUUUCUCACAGCUGAGCCAUUGUGUUUUCUUCAGAAGUUAGAAAUAAGAUUGGCAGAGUCAUGUCCGUAUUCACCCACGCAGCAAAGUACUGGAAGAACUGCAUUAUUUCAUCCCACUCUUCAUGCAUGUUCAAAAUAGUCAAUGGGUGAAGGAAUGCUGGCUGGUUUUACGCUAAGAAAAAAGCCUCCACAAGUUCACAUUCAGUACAGUGAGUACACUUUUAUUUUUGCUAGAUGGUCUGCUGGUUUCUCCAGUCGUCUUAUGUAACACAAGGGAGCAUUUCGUUGUUUGAAUUUCUAUAACUGCCUAUUUUCUGUGUUCAGAGGAGUAGAUUCCCUUACAUAUGGGGUAUUUUUAACUGGGUAAUGUAACUCAGAGUAAUAACACAUAAAAACAAUCUUCUGUGUUGGUUGUUUGAAAGAAAGCUGUUUAUUCAUUAGAAAUGUUAGAAACAUAAUAAUCCCAUUUGGUAGUUAGU
This is a long non-coding RNA of Lagopus leucura (white-tailed ptarmigan), 1037 nucleotides long. RefSeq lists it as uncharacterized. The transcript has 5 exons. The record is from RefSeq and is a predicted model, not a curated record. Lineage: Eukaryota; Metazoa; Chordata; Aves; Galliformes; Phasianidae.